Molecule: ribosomal RNA, 484 nt
Filed under: uncultured bacterium
Lineage: Bacteria
Description: partial 16S ribosomal RNA
Rfam family: Bacterial small subunit ribosomal RNA
Source: RNAcentral
AUUGAACGCUGGCGGCAGGCCUAACACAUGCAAGUCGAGCGGAUGAAGGGAGCUUGCUCCUGGAUUCAGCGGCGGACGGGUGAGUAAUGCCUAGGAAUCUGCCUGGUCGUGGGGGCUAACGUCCGGACACGGGCGCUAAUACCGCAUACGUCCUGAGGGAGAAAGUGGGGGAUCUUCGGACCUCACGCUAUCAGAUGACCCUAGGUCGGAUUAGCUAGUUGGUGGGGUAAAGGCCUACCAAGGCGACGAUCCGUAACUGCUCUGAGAGGAUGAUCAGUCACACUGGAACUGAGACACGGUCCAGACUCCUACGGGAGGCAGCAGUGGGGAAUAUUGGACAAUGGGCGAAAGCCUGAUCCAGCCACGCCGCGUGUGUGAAGAAGGUCUUCGGAUUGUAAAGCACUGUUAGUUGGGAGGAAGGGCAGUAUGUUAAUACCUUGCUGUUUUGACGUUACCAACAGAAAAAGCACCGGCUAACUUCGUG